GCCGCAGUAGCUCAGCUGGUAGAGCGCGUCCAUGGUAAGGACGAGGUAUCGUGUUCGAUUCCCGACUGUGGCUCCA
This 76-nucleotide transfer RNA is filed under the name Candidatus Uhrbacteria bacterium. RNAcentral describes it as "tRNA-Thr". It matches the Rfam family "tRNA". From Rfam's summary of the family: Transfer RNA (tRNA) molecules are approximately 80 nucleotides in length. Their secondary structure includes four short double-helical elements and three loops (D, anti-codon, and T loops). The record is from RNAcentral. Lineage: Bacteria; Candidatus Uhriibacteriota.